UCCUAAGAGAAAAGGAAUAUCAUUUAUUGCCUCUUGCAAAGUAAAUACUCCUCUAUUUAACUGACGGGAUGAACCAAUGAUGUCAUUUAACAGUUUGUUUGUUGGUGAUCUCUACUGCUGAAAUCUCAUUAACAUACACAUUUACUCCUUUGAUCUUCACGAUAAUCCCAUGGAAUUGGCAAGUAAAAGGCAUUAUUGACAUUUUACAGCUUUUUCAGGAGUUAAGCUGCCUUCGCAAUGAGGAUCAAACCUGCAGCUUACAGCUUAUAGACUCGAUGUAUGUAAGCAAAAUGGGGAAUUGCCAAGUCUACCUUAAAAUGGCCAUUUGCCAUACAGUUACUUGAUAGACCCAUUAAAUUCCAGUAAAUUCAAAAUGUUCCAAUGUGGCUAAUUAUUCCAGAAAUGCCAAUAAAAAUGAAAUGUGAUGUUCCCCA
This is a long non-coding RNA of Homo sapiens (human), 434 nucleotides long. Ensembl annotates it as long intergenic non-protein coding RNA 2791. NCBI's taxonomy places the organism in Eukaryota, Metazoa, Chordata, Mammalia, Primates, Hominidae. The record is from Ensembl.